GAGAGAGAUUCAAAUGAGAAUGGAGAAUUAUUCUCAACCCUUCAAUUGUGAAGAUCUACGAUGGAUGCAUUGAUGAAUGAAUGCAAUACCUGGGUUUGAAUCCUGGAGGGAGCGAUUUUUUUUUUAUUUUUUAUUUUUUUAAGUGCAGUUAAUUUUACGACGAAUGUAAUAAAAUUUUAACAAAAUAUCACUUUACGUUAUAAUUUAUCAUAGUUAAUUUAUGAAAACAACUUUAUACUUGGAUAGGUUCUGUUAUCUGAAAUCAUUAGUCGUGAUAGAGCAAGGCGAUGAAUCAAAAUGGUGAAGUUAAUAUAAUUCAGUCAUUCA
RNAcentral lists this long non-coding RNA (327 nucleotides) under Salvia miltiorrhiza (redroot sage). RNAcentral's name for it is "long non-coding RNA (SMIL_LNC012705)". The record is from RNAcentral. Lineage: Eukaryota; Viridiplantae; Streptophyta; Magnoliopsida; Lamiales; Lamiaceae.